RNAcentral lists this ribosomal RNA (468 nucleotides) under uncultured bacterium. Its description in RNAcentral is "partial 16S ribosomal RNA". It matches the Rfam family "Bacterial small subunit ribosomal RNA", at positions 28 to 507 of the family's 1533-position model. The record is from RNAcentral.
GACGAACGCUGGCGGCGUGCUUAACACAUGCAAGUCGAACGGAAAGGCCCUGCUUUUGUGGGGUGCUCGAGUGGCGAACGGGUGAGUAACACGUGAGUAACCUGCCCUUGACUUUGGGAUAACUUCAGGAAACUGGGGCUAAUACCGGAUAGGAGCUCCUGCUGCAUGGUGGGGGUUGGAAAGUUUCGGCGGUUGGGGAUGGACUCGCGGCUUAUCAGCUUGUUGGUGGGGUAGUGGCUUACCAAGGCUUUGACGGGUAGCCGGCCUGAGAGGGUGACCGGCCACAAUGGGACUGAGAUACGGGCCAGACUCCUACCGGAGGCAGCAGUGGGGAAUAUUGCACAAUGGGCGGAAGCCUGAUGCAGCAACGCCGCGUGCGGGAUGACGGCCUUCGGGUUGUAAACCGCUUUCGCCUGGGACGAAGCGUGAGUGACGGUAAUGGGUAAAGAAGCACCGGCUAACUACGUG